Long non-coding RNA from Liolophura sinensis, 253 nucleotides. RefSeq lists it as uncharacterized. The record is from RefSeq and is a predicted model, not a curated record. The transcript is spliced from 3 exons. Lineage: Eukaryota; Metazoa; Mollusca; Polyplacophora; Chitonida; Chitonidae.
UCUGAAGUACCUGCCGGUACCACCAGUGCCUUAGCCGGCCCCCUAGCAGGCGGCAUCUCUGGAGCUAUCGUCUUAAUAGGAGUUGCGCUUCUAGUUGUGGUCAUCUUCCGUAGGCGAAAGCAAGGUAGCCGGUCUUCAGGAGAAACAGAGCAGAUGAGACCGGAUGACACAAAUGGUGUGCAAUCAACCAGACAUUAUGAAAACCUUCCAGGUGAGAAGUGAGCACUAUGCGGAAGACAUGAUGGUUUGGGAU